Molecule: RNA transcript, 1654 nt
Organism: Quercus lobata
Lineage: Eukaryota; Viridiplantae; Streptophyta; Magnoliopsida; Fagales; Fagaceae
Exons: 7
Source: RefSeq, a predicted model, not a curated record
GUGGUCCGGCAGCAAUUGUCACACGUGCAAAACGAGCCUCAUCUCUUGGAACUGACAACUCCAGUCUCCCAGCACAAGAAAAACAUAGACAUUAAACUUUCACACACAUUCUCUCUCUCUCUCUCUCUCUCUCACACACACACACUCUCUCUCUGCUAUUGUUAAUGGCGAUGAUAUAAAGGAAUUAGGGUUCGAGUUAGGGAGAGAGAACAAAGGAAAUUAUUUGAUUUGCUAUCAAAAUGUAUUCUUUAACAGUGAAACCCUUCUUAGUUCCUCAACCUCAAUUUGCUUCUUCUUCGUCUUCGUCUUCUUCGCAUUGCUCGCAUCGUUGGAGCUCUGUAAUUAACUUCCCCACGAUAAGGACCAAGCACAGUGGAGGAAGAAGAUUUGCUCUCACAAUUCACGCUUAUGAUUCUUCCAAGAACCAAGCUCCCAACGGCUCCGGCGAUUCCAAGCCUCCCAACGGAGCUAUGCCAAAGCCCAGAAGAGAAAUUCUAUUGGAGUAUGUCAAAAAUGUGCAGCCAGAAUUUAUGGAGAUGUUUGUGAAGAGAGCACCUCAACAGGUAGUUGAUGCUAUGCGCCAAACAGUGACAAAUAUGAUUGGAACACUUCCACCACAAUUUUUUGCAGUAACAGUUACCACUGUUGCUGAAAACCUUGCGCAGCUAAUGUACAGUGUCAUGAUGACUGGAUACAUGUUUAAGAAUGCACAAUACCGAUUGGAACUACAACAAAGCUUGGAGCAGGUUGCCCUUCCUGAUGCACAAGAUAAAAAGGAUGCGCCAGAUUAUGCACCCGGUACACAGAAGAAUGUGUCAGGUGAAGUUAUUAGGUGGAAUAAUGUCUCAGGUCCUGAGAAAAUUGAUGCUAAAAAGUACAUAGAGUUACUUGAAGCUGAGGUUGAGGAACUAAAUCGUCAAGUUGGUAGAAAAUCAUUAAAUGGGCAAAAUGAAUUGUUGGAAUAUCUCAAGUCUCUUGAGCCCCAGAAUCUGAAGGAUUUGACAAGUAGUGCUGGAGAGGAUGUUGUGCUUGCAAUGAACACAUUCAUAAAGCGCCUUCUGGCUGUUUCGGAUCCUAGCCAAAUGAAGGUUUGCUACGAUCUUUUCCACAAGGUUUAAAUUCCAGUUUAUCCUCUUGUAACGAAGGAAUUCACAGAAAUUCUCCAAGAUACUGGUGUUGCAAUAUGACAAGUGCAACAGAGACUAGUGCACCAGAACUUGCCAAGCUUCUUUAUUGGCUGAUGGUGGUCGGCUACAGCAUUCGUAACAUCGAAGUCCGUUUUGAUAUGGAACGAGUGCUUGGGACUACCCCAAAGCUCGCAGAAUUGCCUCCAGGGGAAAAUGUUUAAAUUACUGUGGAUGGAAUUGCAAAGAACAGAAGUUAAGGUGCUGUUGGAGCAAAGUGUUCUUCAUUUUAAACUGAAGGAUCAAUCCAUGGAUGAUUUACUUCUGGUUGAGAAGGAAAAAUUUUAACUUGCCACGGAGUAGGCUUUCCCAAAUCUUAAUAGUCAAAAUGAUUGAUAAUGUUAAUUCAAAAGCCAAGAUAUAUUUGUAGGCACAUCUAGCGAAAUCCCCGUAUGUACUUUGUCUCAAACAUGCAUCUUUUCAAUUAUUUUAUAGCUAUCAAGAGAGUCUGGAGUUCUUGGAUUAUUUUA